UACGAAGGGGGCUAGCGUUGUUCGGAUUUACUGGGCGUAAAGCGCAUGUAGGCGGGCCGUUAAGUUGGGGGUGAAAGCCCGGAGCUCAACUCCGGAAUUGCCUUCAAAACUGGCGGCCUGGAGCAAGAUAGAGGCGAGUGGAAUUCUUGGUGUAGCGGUGAAAUGCGUAGAUAUCAAGAGGAACACCUGAGGUGAAGACGGGUUGCUGGGCUGACACUGACGCUGAGGCGCGAAAGCUAGGGUAGCAAACGGG
RNAcentral lists this ribosomal RNA (253 nucleotides) under uncultured bacterium. RNAcentral describes it as "partial 16S ribosomal RNA". It matches the Rfam family "Bacterial small subunit ribosomal RNA", at positions 524 to 776 of the family's 1533-position model. The record is from RNAcentral.